CUCUCGCCAUUGCUCUCUGGCGUUUUCUCUCUUCCACCAAACAAAAUAUAACCGAAAGGAAUCACACAAAAAAGAAUAAUAAACAAAACAAAAAGAACUCUCUUUUUCUCCUAUCUCAAACUCUUUUUUUUCCCACCAUGAACGUGAGUGGAGGCUCUCUCUCUACCCAGAGAGCCUACCCUUGAAAAGAACCUAUCAACUACACUAAACCAAAAAAAAAACCUAGGAGUCCUCGAAAGUCUCAUUCUUUAACUUGAAUCUCCAUCUGGGUCUUCGUUAACUUCCUUAAAAAAUUCGACUUUUGUUUUCACUGUUUGAGCUAUGAUGGUCCACACGAUGCACAGAGAGUCGCCGGAUAAAGGGUUGGAUUCCGGCAAGUAUGUGAGGUACACGCCGGAGCAAGUUGAAGCUCUUGAGAGAGUUUACACUGAGUGUCCUAAGCCUAGCUCUCUCAGAAGACAGCAACUCAUUAGAGAGUGUCCCAUUCUCUCCAACAUCGAGCCCAAACAGAUCAAAGUUUGGUUUCAGAACCGCAGAUGCCGAGAGAAGCAGAGGAAAGAAGCAGCUCGUCUCCAAACAGUCAACAGAAAGCUUAACGCCAUGAACAAACUCUUGAUGGAAGAGAAUGAUCGUCUCCAGAAGCAAGUUUCCCACUUGGUCUACGAGAAUGGUCACAUGAAACACCAACUCCACACUGCUUCUGGGACGACCACAGACAACAGCUGUGAGUCUGUGGUCGUAAGUGGUCAGCAACAUCAACAGCAAAACUCUAAUCAUCCUCAGCAUCUGCAACGUGAUGCUAACAACCCAGCUGGUCUCCUUUCGAUAGCAGAGGAGGCCCUCGCAGAGUUCCUUUCCAAGGCUACAGGAACUGCUGUUGACUGGGUUCAGAUGAUUGGUAUGAAGCCUGGUCCGGAUUCUAUUGGCAUAGUCUCUAUUUCGCGCAACUGCAGCGGAAUUGCAGCACGUGCCUGCGGCCUCGUGAGUUUAGAACCCAUGAAGGUUGCCGAAAUCCUCAAAGAUCGUCAAUCUUGGCUCCGUGAUUGUCGAUGUGUGGAUACUCUGAGUGUGAUUCCUGCUGGAAACGGUGGAACUAUCGAGCUUAUAUACACGCAGAUGUAUGCUCCAACGAUACUAGCAGCAGCUCGUGACUUUUGGACGCUGAGAUACAGCACAUGUUUAGAAGAUGGUAGCUAUGUGGUUUGUGAAAGGUCGCUUACUUCUACAACUGGUGGCCCCAAUGGACCACCUUCUUCAAGCUUUGUGAGAGCUGAAAUGCGACCAAGCGGGUUUCUCAUCCGUCCUUGCGAUGGUGGUGGUUCCAUUGUCCACAUUGUUGACCAUGUUGAUUUGGAUGCUUGGAGUGUCCCUGAAGUCAUGAGGCCUCUCUAUGAAUCUUCAAAGAUUCUUGCUCAGAAAAUGACCGUUGCUGCUCUGAGGCAUGUAAGGCAAAUUGCACAAGAGACAAGUGGAGAAGUUCAGUACGGUGGAGGGCGGCAACCUGCGGUCUUAAGAACCUUCAGUCAAAAACUCUGUCGUGGAUUCAAUGAUGCUGUCAAUGGUUUUGUGGAUGAUGGAUGGUCACCAUUGGGUAGUAAUGACGGUGCAGAGGAUAUUAGUGUUAUGAUAAACUUGUCUCCUGGGAAGUUUGGUGGGCCGUCUCACUACGGUAGCUCAUUCCUCCCAAGCUUUGGUAGUGGUGUUCUUUGUGCUAAGGCAUCUAUGCUAUUGGAGAACGUUCCAUCUGCUGUGCUGGUUAGAUUCCUUAGAGAACACCGCUCUGAGUGGGCUGAUUAUGGUGUGGAUGCUUAUGCUGCUGCAUCCCUCAGAGCUAGUCCUUUUGCUGUUCCUUGCGCUAGAGCUGGUGGGUUCCCGAGUAACCAAGUCAUUCUCCCAUUAGCACAGACAGUUGAACAUGAAGAGUUUCUUGAAGUGGUUAGACUUGAAGGUCAUGCUUACUCACCUGAAGACAUGGGUUUAGCUCGUGAUAUGUACUUGCUUCAGCUUUGUAGUGGUGUUGAUGAAAAUGUGGUUGGAGGUUGUGCACAGCUUGUCUUUGCUCCUAUUGAUGAGUCAUUUGCUGAUGAUGCACCUUUGCUUCCUUCUGGUUUCCGCGUCAUACCUCUUGAACAUAAAUCAACCCCGAACGGUGCAUCUGCAAACCGUACGUUGGAUUUAGCAUCGGCCUUAGAAGGAUCAACACGUCAAGGAAGUGAAGCUGACACAAACGGUUGUAACUUUAGGUCGGUAGUGACCAUAGCAUUCCAGUUCACGUUUGAUAACCACACUAGAGACAAUGUUGCUUCAAUGGCACGUCAGUACGUGAGAAGCAUAGUGGGAUCUAUUCAGAGGGUUGCUCUAGCCAUUGCUCCUCGUCCUGGUUCUAGUAUCAGUCCAGUAUCUGCUCCCACUUCCCCUGAAGCUCUCACUCUCGUCCGUUGGAUCUCAAGGAGUUACAGGGUUCACACUGGUGCAGAUCUCUUUGGGUCUGAUUCUCAAACCAGUGGUGACACAUUGCUGCGUCAACUCUGGAACCACACUGAUGCAAUCCUGUGCUGCUCGCUCAAAACAAACGCUUCACCGGUUUUCACAUUUGCAAACCAAACCGGUUUAGACAUGCUGGAAACUACUCUUGUAGCUCUUCAAGACAUAAUGCUAGACAAGACCCUCGACGAGUCUGGUCGUAAAGCUCUUUGCUCCGAGUUCCCCAAGAUCAUGCAACAGGGAUAUGCUCAUCUUCCUGCGGGUGUGUGUGCAUCAAGCAUGGGGAGAUUGGUAUCUUACGAGCAGGCAACAGUGUGGAAAGUUCUUGAAGACGAUGAGUCAAACCAUUGCUUAGCAUUCAUGUUCGUGAAUUGGUCGUUCGUUUGAAGAGAAGAGUAAGGAAGACCAGGUUACUUCCUUCCCAUGGAAGGUUAUUAUGUAAGAUGUUAAAGUUAGGGUGCUAUUAUGCUAAACAGUGUUUUGAAAUUCAGGGACUAAUAUGUAAUAUGACUUAUUUAUGAUCCUUUAUGGAUUGUUUCUUGUUCGUAUGUUAUGGCCGGAUAUUAUUAUUACGAUGUUAUUAAGUCU
Brassica rapa (field mustard) is the source of this 3072-nucleotide RNA transcript. It is a transcript of the gene named homeobox-leucine zipper protein ATHB-14, with no coding region annotated. The record is from RefSeq and is a predicted model, not a curated record. Lineage: Eukaryota; Viridiplantae; Streptophyta; Magnoliopsida; Brassicales; Brassicaceae.